CCAUAAACAUUGCAUGAUUCAGUUCUCCUUGAUAUCUUGGUGCUUGGACUCUUCACUGUUGGCAUCAUUAGGUCAGCAGGUGAACACUCAGGAUUGUCUCUCUUCUGUUAGUAGAGCACCAAAAGACAGGGUCUGGCUCUGUCACGUAAGCCAGAGUGCAAUGGUACAAUCACCAUUGACUGCAGUCUCAAAUUCCUGGGUUCAAGCAAUCCUCCUGCCUCAGGUUCCCAAGCAGCUGGGACUACAGGCAUGUACCACCAUGCCCAGGGAAUGGUGUCUGGACCCAGAGAAUAACUGGAUCUUCAAGGAAGGAAGAGAAAUCUUUAGAAGAACGUGGAUUCUCCCCACUGGUAGUUAGUUGUCUCUUCCAUAUCCAGAAAUAACCUGAACAGGGCCACUGUGCGUAGGUUUAGAAUGGAGUUCAGAUACCAUACCCCAAAGAUGCUGGCAGAGACAUUCUGACUCAUUAAGGGAGAGCCGGCUGAUAGCAGAGAGGGGUGACAUCAGCCUUGCAGACAUUGCCCUGGGGAAUUCUGAGCAGUGUUGUACAGCACCACCUGGCCAGAUGGAGACCACCAUGGGGUUCAUGGAUGACAAUGCCACCAACACCUCCACCAGCUUCCUUUCUGCGCUCAACUCUCAUGGAGCCCAUGCCGCUUCCUUCCCAUUCAACUUCAGCUACGGCGACUAUGAUAUGCCUUUGGAUGAAGAUGAGGAUGUGACCAAUUCCCAGACUUUCUUUGCUGCCAAGAUUGUCAUUGGGAUGGCCCUGGUGGGCAUCAUGCUGGUCUGUGGCAUUGGCAACUUCAUCUUUAUCGCUGCCCUGGUCCGCUACAAGAAACUGCGCAACCUCACCAACCUGCUCAUCGCCAACCUGGCCAUCUCUGACUUCCUGGUGGCCAUUGUCUGCUGCCCCUUUGAGAUGGACUACUAUGUGGUGCGCCAGCUCUCCUGGGAGCACGGCCACGUCCUGUGCACCUCUGUCAACUACCUGCGCACUGUCUCUCUCUAUGUCUCCACCAAUGCCCUGCUGGCCAUCGCCAUUGACAGAGUAACUGUGAUGUGACAGAUGCUAUUGCAAGCACUGGAGAUACGACAGUGAAUAAGACAAAAAAACUCCUUGCUUUCCUGGAGCUUAUACCCAAAGGAUGGAGAGAGAUCCAGUCAGGCAAACAAAAAAGGAAGGUAUCUGGCUAUUGUCCACCCGCUGAGACCACGGAUGAAGUGCCAAACAGCCACUGGCCUGAUUGCCUUGGUGUGGACGGUGUCCAUCCUGAUCGCCAUCCCUUCCGCCUACUUCACCACCGAGACGGUCCUCGUCAUUGUCAAGAGCCAGGAAAAGAUCUUCUGCGGCCAGAUCUGGCCUGUGGACCAGCAGCUCUACUACAAGUCCUACUUCCUCUUUAUCUUUGGCAUCGAAUUCGUGGGCCCCGUGGUCACCAUGACCCUGUGCUAUGCCAGGAUCUCCCGGGAGCUCUGGUUCAAGGCCGUCCCUGGAUUCCAGACCGAGCAGAUCCGCAAGAGGCUGCGCUGCCGCAGGAAGACGGUCCUGGUGCUCAUGUGCAUCCUCACCGCCUACGUGCUGUGCUGGGCGCCCUUCUACGGCUUCACCAUCGUGCGCGACUUCUUCCCCACCGUGUUCGUGAAGGAGAAGCACUACCUCACUGCCUUCUACAUCGUCGAGUGCAUCGCCAUGAGCAACAGCAUGAUCAACACUCUGUGCUUCGUGACCGUCAAGAACAACACCGUCAAGUACUUCAAAAAGAUCAUGUUGCUCCACUGGAAGGCUUCUUACAAUGGCGCUAAGUCCAGUGCAGACCUGGACCUCAAGACGAUCGGGAUGCCUGCCACCGAAGAGGUGGACUGCAUCAGACUAAAAUAACCCCCUGGACUUUGCAAAGUUUAAACACAAAGCAGGGUCCUGUGGACACUGACUAGUGUGCUUGGAUGCACAUCAACCUGGAACUUUUUGUUUGCUGCAGAGGGCAAAGUAAACGGACCACUCUGUGAACAAUGUUUUCAAGGAGCUCAGAGUUUCUAAAAUGCAUGUGACCAGACACUAUCAACAGUGGCAUUUGCUGAAUGUCUAAUUUGCACACCAGUAGGUACUGGUAAAACCUAUAUAUGUUGAUGACAUUUAGUUGGCAAAAUGAAAUUGGAAUUAAACC
RNAcentral lists this small RNA (2168 nucleotides) under Pongo abelii (Sumatran orangutan). Its description in RNAcentral is "processed transcript". Lineage: Eukaryota; Metazoa; Chordata; Mammalia; Primates; Hominidae. The record is from RNAcentral.